Molecule: ribosomal RNA, 253 nt
Filed under: uncultured bacterium
Lineage: Bacteria
Description: partial 16S ribosomal RNA
Rfam family: Bacterial small subunit ribosomal RNA
Source: RNAcentral
UACAGAGGUCCCAAGCGUUGUUCGGAUUCACUGGGCGUAAAGGGUGCGUAGGUGGCCAGGUAAGUUCGGUGUGAAAGCUCGGAGCUUAACUCCGAAAUGGCAUUGAAUACUAUCUGGCUAGAGGGUCGGAGGGGAGACUGGAAUUCUCGGUGUAGCAGUGAAAUGCGUAGAUAUCGAGAGGAACACCAGUGGCGAAGGCGAGGCUCUGGACGACUCCUGACACUGAGGCACGAAAGCCAGGGGAGCAAACAGG